This is a non-coding RNA of Acanthosepion pharaonis, 109 nucleotides long. The record is from the annotation of a GenBank genome assembly. NCBI's taxonomy places the organism in Eukaryota, Metazoa, Mollusca, Cephalopoda, Sepiida, Sepiidae.
GCUAUAUGACGUUGAAACACUGCUUCUCGUACGAUCAGCGAAGUUAAGCAUCUUUGAGCCUGGUCAGUACCUAGAUGGGUAACCGCUUGAGAAUACCCGAUGCUGUAAG